This 30-nucleotide non-coding RNA is filed under the name Mus musculus (house mouse). The record is from RNAcentral. Lineage: Eukaryota; Metazoa; Chordata; Mammalia; Rodentia; Muridae.
UGCGAAUUUGGUUAGUCCAGGCACGGGCUC